RNAcentral lists this ribosomal RNA (253 nucleotides) under uncultured bacterium. RNAcentral describes it as "partial 16S ribosomal RNA". It matches the Rfam family "Bacterial small subunit ribosomal RNA", at positions 524 to 776 of the family's 1533-position model. The record is from RNAcentral.
UACAGAGGUCCCGAGCGUUGUUCGGAUUCAUUGGGCGUAAAGGGCGCGUAGGCGGCGCGGAUAGUCGGCGGUGAAAGCCCGGAGCUCAACUCCGGGUCGGCCGUCGAUACUUCCGGGCUUGAGCACUGUAGAGGCAGAUGGAAUUCCAGGUGUAGCGGUGGAAUGCGUAGAGAUCCGGAAGAACACCGGUGGCGAAGGCGGUCUGCUGGGCAGUUGCUGACGCUGAUGCGCGACAGCGUGGGGAGCAAACAGG